This 212-nucleotide non-coding RNA is filed under the name Weissella paramesenteroides. RNAcentral describes it as "T-box sequence". It matches the Rfam family "T-box leader". Rfam says of the family: Uncharged tRNA acts as the effector for transcription antitermination of genes in the T-box leader family. T-boxes are found upstream of many aminoacyl-tRNA synthetase genes and some amino acid biosynthetic genes usually in Gram-positive bacteria. The record is from RNAcentral. Lineage: Bacteria; Bacillati; Bacillota; Bacilli; Lactobacillales; Lactobacillaceae.
GUAUCGACAUAGAAGAGAUGAGUAUAGUGUUUGAUCGUUUGUAGAGAGCUAGUGGGUGGUGGAAACUAGUAACGAUUUCGCUAGAAGAUGGUCUUGGAGUCAUAAUGACACGAACAUGAUUGCUAGUGCCAUUCGGGGUCGCUCGUUAUAACGUUUAGAGGGUAAGCUUGUCUUAUCAAACUCGGGUGGUAACACGUGGUAACGUCCCGUAA